AAAUUGAAGAGUUUGAUCAUGGCUCAGAUUGAACGCUGGCGGCAGGCUUAACACAUGCAAGUCGAACGGUAACAGGAAACAGCUUGCUGUUUCGCUGACGAGUGGCGGACGGGUGAGUAAUGUCUGGGAAACUGCCCGAUGGAGGGGGAUAACUACUGGAAACGGUAGCUAAUACCGCAUAACGUCGCAAGACCAAAGAGGGGGACCUUCGGGCCUCUUGCUAUCGGAUGUGCCCAGAUGGGAUUAGCUAGUAGGUGGGGUAACGGCUCACCUAGGCGACGAUCCCUAGCUGGUCUGAGAGGAUGACCAGCCACACUGGAACUGAGACACGGUCCAGACUCCUACGGGAGGCAGCAGUGGGGAAUAUUGCACAAUGGGCGCAAGCCUGAUGCAGCCAUGCCGCGUGUAUGAAGAAGGCCUUCGGGUUGUAAAGUACUUUCAGCGGGGAGGAAGGGAGUAAAGUUAAUACCUUUACUCAUUGACGUUACCC
RNAcentral lists this ribosomal RNA (490 nucleotides) under Shigella flexneri. RNAcentral describes it as "bacterial SSU rRNA". It matches the Rfam family "Bacterial small subunit ribosomal RNA", at positions 1 to 480 of the family's 1533-position model. The record is from RNAcentral. Lineage: Bacteria; Pseudomonadati; Pseudomonadota; Gammaproteobacteria; Enterobacterales; Enterobacteriaceae.